GUUGUGGUUAAGUGACAAAGCAUCUGCUUGGCAUGCAGAAGAUCCCAAGUUCAAUACCUAGCUUCUGCA
This 69-nucleotide transfer RNA is filed under the name Sphaerodactylus townsendi. RNAcentral describes it as "tRNA-Ala". It matches the Rfam family "tRNA". From Rfam's summary of the family: Transfer RNA (tRNA) molecules are approximately 80 nucleotides in length. Their secondary structure includes four short double-helical elements and three loops (D, anti-codon, and T loops). The record is from RNAcentral. Lineage: Eukaryota; Metazoa; Chordata; Lepidosauria; Squamata; Sphaerodactylidae.